UGCCAGCCGCCGCGGUAAUACGAACCGGACAAACGUUAUUCGGAAUUAUUGGGCUUGAAGGGUGUGUAGGCGGUCGCGUAGGUGGGGUGUGAAAUCCCUCGGCUCAACCGAGGAACUGCGCUCCAAACCCCGUGACUAGAGGGAGACAGAGGUAAGCGGAACUGAUGGUGGAGCGGUGAAAUGCGUUGAUAUCAUCAGGAGCACCAGUGGCGAAAGCGGCUUACUGGGUCUCUUCUGACGCUGAGACACGAAAGCUAGGGUAGCGAACGGGAUUAGAUA
This 279-nucleotide ribosomal RNA is filed under the name uncultured bacterium. Its description in RNAcentral is "partial 16S ribosomal RNA". It matches the Rfam family "Bacterial small subunit ribosomal RNA", at positions 506 to 784 of the family's 1533-position model. The record is from RNAcentral.